RNAcentral lists this long non-coding RNA (359 nucleotides) under Gallus gallus (chicken). RNAcentral's name for it is "long non-coding RNA NONGGAT003107". The record is from RNAcentral. Lineage: Eukaryota; Metazoa; Chordata; Aves; Galliformes; Phasianidae.
CCGGGAGAUGCCCGCACGUCUCCCCGGGCCCGCCUGAUGCCCAAGAGACGACCCCCGGCCCGCCCCGCCUCUCGCUGAGGCAGUACCCCGGCCGAGCCGCCAGAUGUCAGCACGAGGCUUUGUGCCUCGCUCCGCUCUCAGUGACUGCUCCAGUCGCCAAAUAGCACGAAGCUUUCCCGUACAAUCCCAGGCCCUGCUUCAGCCCAUCCGCCUCUCCCGCUCAGAAGACUUUUUUGGAAGUAUAUGAUGAGCAACCAUUGAGAUUGGAUGGAAAGCAUCAGCAGCACCAGGAAACUCUUGGCAUAUGGAUAGUCUGAAUUGCUUCUGCAUGGGAUCCAGUGUGGGGAAUGCUCUGAAUC